Molecule: ribosomal RNA, 641 nt
Filed under: Leifsonia sp. I13A-01660
Lineage: Bacteria; Bacillati; Actinomycetota; Actinomycetes; Micrococcales; Microbacteriaceae
Description: bacterial SSU rRNA
Rfam family: Bacterial small subunit ribosomal RNA
Source: RNAcentral
AGUGGCGAACGGGUGAGUAACACGUGAGUAACCUGCCCUUGACUCUGGGAUAACCUCCGGAAACGGAAGCUAAUACCGGAUAUGACGCACGGAGGCAUCUCCUGUGCGUGGAAAGAACUUCGGUCAAGGAUGGACUCGCGGCCUAUCAGGUAGUUGGUGAGGUAACGGCCCACCAAGCCUACGACGGGUAGCCGGCCUGAGAGGGUGACCGGCCACACUGGGACUGAGACACGGCCCAGACUCCUACGGGAGGCAGCAGUGGGGAAUAUUGCACAAUGGGCGCAAGCCUGAUGCAGCAACGCCGCGUGAGGGACGACGGCCUUCGGGUUGUAAACCUCUUUUAGUAGGGAAGAAGCGAAAGUGACGGUACCUGCAGAAAAAGCACCGGCUAACUACGUGCCAGCAGCCGCGGUAAUACGUAGGGUGCGAGCGUUGUCCGGAAUUAUUGGGCGUAAAGAGCUCGUAGGCGGUCUGUCGCGUCUGCUGUGAAAUCCCGAGGCUCAACCUCGGGCCUGCAGUGGGUACGGGCAGACUAUAGUGCGGUAGGGGAGAAUGGAAUUCCUGGUGUAGCGGUGGAAUGCGCAGAUAUCAGGAGGAACACCGAUGGCGAAGGCAGUUCUCUGGGCCGUAACUGACGCUGA